UGCAAAGUUUAUUUUUUAAUUUCCAUUUAAUAGCUAAAGUUUUUAGAAUUGGUUGGAACCAUUGAACAUAUAUGAUCCAACUAAAAAGCUAUUUAAAAUAUCUUUUCAGGCUUCAAAUAAAUGAAUUCUAUUGACUUAUUAUGAUCACGCAACUGGCGUUGGAAAUUCAAAAUAUAUACUAAGGCUAUCUGAUCUUAUUAUGUAAUACUUUUUGAUAAAGUGCUGUCUAAAUAAAGCUAGAAAUGGUAAGAUAUUUUUGUAUUG
This 264-nucleotide long non-coding RNA is filed under the name Ananas comosus (pineapple). RNAcentral's name for it is "long non-coding RNA (ACOM_LNC016862)". The record is from RNAcentral. Lineage: Eukaryota; Viridiplantae; Streptophyta; Magnoliopsida; Poales; Bromeliaceae.